AUAGCAUAGGGAGUUUUGUAUCUUGAAUCAAGAAAAUCAAGAAGAUGCUACUGAAUCUUUUUAACUUUGUUAUAAUAUCAUAAAGUUUGAAUCUUUUUGUCUUUUGAAUCAAGAAAAUGCUGCUAAAUCUUUUUAACCUUGUUAUUGUGACAGAAAGUUUGAAUCUUGUUGUCUCUUGAAUCAAGAAAAUGCUGCUAAGGAGUUCUUCAACACCACUUCUUGGAUCUUUACACUCAGAGAGUCCCAACAGUAAUCACCAUCAUCAUUAGUAUGAUUUAACCCCAUAUCACACACCCAAUUCCAUUCACCAUAGUUAUAGCAAACUCUCAUGUAGCCAUUGUGGAUAUCAGAAUUUUAAUAGAAGUUUAUACCCUUGUAAGUCUCCAAUCUCUCCAUUUUCUGAGAUCAGCAAUGGCAACAAAUUCCCAUCUCAUGGUUUUAGAAGAGCUCAAUCUGAAGGGAACUUGGAAGGAUUAGUAAAAGUUUAAACUGAUGAAGUAGUUGAUGAAUUUACCCUCUCUAAACCAACCAAGAUGCUUUCGCGUAAACCACCAAAAUCAUUCUUGGAAACCAUUCCAUCUUUCUCCAUUCACAAUUCAAGGGAGCUUCAUUCGGAGGACGAUGACAGCGAUGACUUUGAUUGCAUAAGUGGACAGAACAGUUUGGGAAUGAAUGCUGUAAAAGAGGAAAUGACUCAUGUGAGUCGAAAUUCGAAGAUAGAAAUAGUUGAAGGCAGAGAAGAGAUGUUCCUAGCACGAGGACUUGGGGUUGCUGAUAUUGGUUGCUUUGAUGAUGGUGGCUGUGGCAUAGGAGGUGGAGGAGGCGGUGUUUAUCGCCCAAUAGCGUUCGAUAGGGAUGGUGGUGACAGCCAGGGACUUCAUAUAGAAGAGCAUUACAAGAAAAUGAUAGAAGAGAAUCCUGGCAAUUCAUUAUUCUUGAGGAAUUAUGCCAACCUUUUAUAUCAAGUGAGUCUUUGCUUUUAUCCCUUCUCUUAUUUUGCUUAUUCAUUCAUUGACAAUAGCUAAUUUUGCUUUUCUUUCGUGUUGGAGCAGAUAAAGAAAGACCUUAAAGGGGCAGAGGAAUACUAUUCAAGAGCUAUCUUAGCAGAUCCAUGUGAUGGUGAAAUUCUUUCACAAUAUGCUAAGCUUAUAUGGGAGCUUCACCGCGAUACAGAUAGAGCCACGAGCUAUUUCGAAAGAGCAGUCCAAACAGCCUCCAGUGACAGUCACAUACAUGUUGCUUAUGCUAAUUUCCUCUGGAAAAUAGAAGAUGAGGAGGAUGAGAAUGAUGAAACACAAACGCAACCAAUGGUGCAUACUGUAGCCACGGCUUCUAUAACUGUUUGACUUGAAAGUACAUUAUCUUUCGUUGAAAUAUUUGCAGAAGAGUUGGUAGAAGCUUAGCAAGUAAUUAGGAAGAACCUGUAAUUUAGCAUAUAGUUAGUAAUAAAACUGAUGCACAGGACUUCUCUUUUCUCAUA
Solanum pennellii is the source of this 1480-nucleotide RNA transcript. RefSeq lists it as uncharacterized. The record is from RefSeq and is a predicted model, not a curated record. The transcript is spliced from 2 exons. NCBI's taxonomy places the organism in Eukaryota, Viridiplantae, Streptophyta, Magnoliopsida, Solanales, Solanaceae.